GCAAGAUUAAAGCUCAAAGGAAUUGACGGGGGCCCGCACAAGCGGUGGAGUAUGUGGUUUAAUUCGAUGCAACGCGAAGAACCUUACCUGGUCUUGACAUCCCGAAGAUCUCCUGGAAACAGGAGAGUGCUUUCAUUGGAGAGAAUUCGGUGACAGGUGCUGCAUGGCUGUCGUCAGCUCGUGUCGUGAGAUGUUGGGUUAAGUCCCGCAACGAGCGCAACCCUCGCCAUUAGUUGCCAUCAUUUAGUUGGGCACUCUAAUGGGACUGCCGGUGUCAAACCGGAGGAAGGUGGGGAUGACGUCAAGUCCUCAUGGCCUUUAUGACCAGGGCUACACACGUACUACAAUGGCCGGUACAAAGGGCAGCCACAGUGCGAACUGGAGCAAAUCCCUUAAAGCCGGUCUCAGUCCGGAUCGGAGUCUGCAACUCGACUCCGUGAAGUUGGAAUCGCUAGUAAUCGUGGAUCAGCAUGCCACGGUGAGUACGUUCCCGGGCCUUGUACACACCGCCCGUCACACCACGGAAGUCGGUUGUACCAGAAGUAGUUGAGCGAACCUUCGGGACGCAGGCUACCAAGGUAUGGCUGGUAACAGGGGUGAAGUCGUAACAAGGUA
This 615-nucleotide ribosomal RNA is filed under the name uncultured bacterium. Its description in RNAcentral is "bacterial SSU rRNA". It matches the Rfam family "Bacterial small subunit ribosomal RNA", at positions 888 to 1498 of the family's 1533-position model. The record is from RNAcentral.